GAGUUUGAUCGUGGCUCAGGAUGAACGCUGGCGGCGUGCUUAACACAUGCAAGUCGAACGAGGAAUUUUAAAUGAGACUUCGGUGGAUUUUAAAAUUCUUAGUGGCGGACGGGUGAGUAACGCGUGGGCAACCUGCCCUGUACAGGGGGGACAACAGCUGGAAACGGCUGCUAAUACCGCAUAAGACCACGGAGCCGCAUGGCUCAGUGGGAAAAACUCCGGUGGUACAGGAUGGGCCCGCGUUGGAUUAGGUAGUUGGUGAGGUAACGGCCCACCAAGCCGACGAUCCAUAGCCGACCUGAGAGGGUGACCGGCCACGUUGGGACUGAGACACGGCCCAAACUCCUACGGGAGGCAGCAGUGGGGAAUCUUCCGCAAUGGGCGAAAGCCUGACGGAGCAACGCCGCGUGAGUGAAGAAUUAUUUCGGUAUGUAAAGCUCUAUCAGCAGGGAAGAAAAUGACGGUACCUGACUAAGAAGCCCGGCUAACUACGUGCCGGCCGCCGCAGUAAG
Molecule: ribosomal RNA, 512 nt
Filed under: uncultured microorganism
Description: bacterial SSU rRNA
Rfam family: Bacterial small subunit ribosomal RNA
Source: RNAcentral